UACAGAGGUCUCAAGCGUUGUUCGGAUUCAUUGGGCGUAAAGGGUGCGUAGGUGGCGCUGUAAGUCGGGUGUGAAAUUUCGGAGCUUAACUCCGAACUGCAUUCGAUACUGCGGUGCUUGAGGACUGGAGAGGAGACUGGAAUUCAUGGUGUAGCAGUGAAAUGCGUAGAGAUCAUGAGGAAGACCAGUGGCGAAGGCGGGUCUCUGGACAGUUCCUGACACUGAGGCACGAAGGCCAGGGGAGCAAACGGG
RNAcentral lists this ribosomal RNA (252 nucleotides) under uncultured bacterium. RNAcentral describes it as "partial 16S ribosomal RNA". It matches the Rfam family "Bacterial small subunit ribosomal RNA", at positions 524 to 776 of the family's 1533-position model. The record is from RNAcentral.